CAAUAGCGUAUAUUAAAGUUGUUGCAGUUAAAAAGCUCGUAGUUGGAUUUCUGGUAGGAGUGACCGUGCCAGACUUGAUUGUCUGUGUAUUGUGUUGUCUCCAGCCAUCCUUGUGGAGAACUUUUCUUGCAUUAAUUUGUAGGGAUUGGGACCCGCAUCGUUUACUGUGAAAAAAUUAGAGUGUUUAAAGCAGGCAAUCGCUUGAAUACAUUAGCAUGGAAUAAUAAGAUAGGACUUUGGUACUAUUUUGUUGGUUUGUAUACCAAAUUAAUGAUCAACAGGAACGGUUUGAGGAUAUUCGUAUGAACAUGUCAGAGGUGAAAUUCUUGGAUUUUGAUCAGACGAACUACUGCGAAAGCAUUUAUCAAGGAUGUUUUCAUUAA
RNAcentral lists this ribosomal RNA (383 nucleotides) under uncultured eukaryote. Its description in RNAcentral is "partial 18S ribosomal RNA". It matches the Rfam family "Eukaryotic small subunit ribosomal RNA", at positions 592 to 976 of the family's 1831-position model. The record is from RNAcentral.